This 73-nucleotide transfer RNA is filed under the name Marmota monax (woodchuck). Its description in RNAcentral is "tRNA.Ala". The stretch from base 7 to 67 matches the Rfam family "tRNA", at positions 6 to 65 of the family's 71-position model. Rfam says of the family: Transfer RNA (tRNA) molecules are approximately 80 nucleotides in length. Their secondary structure includes four short double-helical elements and three loops (D, anti-codon, and T loops). The record is from RNAcentral. Lineage: Eukaryota; Metazoa; Chordata; Mammalia; Rodentia; Sciuridae.
UUUAUAUGUAGCUCAGUGGGGGAGCAACUGCCUAGCAUGCAGGAGGCCCUGGGUUCAAUCCCCAAUAGUGGAG